This 992-nucleotide ribosomal RNA is filed under the name uncultured bacterium. Its description in RNAcentral is "bacterial SSU rRNA". It matches the Rfam family "Bacterial small subunit ribosomal RNA", at positions 434 to 1422 of the family's 1533-position model. The record is from RNAcentral.
UGUAAGUCANGAACGUGUGUGAGAGUGGAAAGUUCACACAGUGACGGUAGCUUNCCAGAAAGGGACGGCUAACUACGUGCCAGCAGCCGCGGUAAUACGUAGGUCCCGAGCGUUGUCCGGAUUUAUUGGGCGUAAAGGGAGCGCAGGCGGUCAGGAAANUCUGGAGUAAAAGGCUAUGGCUCAACCAUAGUGUGCUCUGGAAGCUGUNUGACUUGAGUGCAGAAGGGGAGAGUGGAAUUCCAUGUGUAGCGGUGAAAUGCGUAGAUAUAUGGAGGAACACCAGUGGCGAAAGCGGCUCUCUGGUCUGUCACUGACGCUGAGGCUCGAAAGCGUGGGUAGCGAACAGGAUUAGAUACCCUGGUAGUCCACGCCGUAAACGAUGAGUGCUAGGUGUUAGGCCCUUUCCGGGGCUUAGUGCCGGAGCUAACGCAAUAAGCACUCCGCCUGGGGAGUACGACCGCAAGGUUGAAACUCAAAGGAAUUGACGGGGGCCCGCACAAGCGGUGGAGCAUGUGGUUUAAUUCGAAGCAACGCGAAGAACCUUACCAGGUCUUGACAUCCCGAUGCUAUUCUUAGAGAUAGGAAGUUACUUCGGUACAUCGGAGACAGGUGGUGCAUGGUUGUCGUCAGCUCGUGUCGUGAGAUGUUGGGUUAAGUCCCGCAACGAGCGCAACCCUUAUUGUUAGUUGCCAUCAUUAAGUUGGGCACUCUAGCGAGACUGCCGGUAAUAAACCGGAGGAAGGUGGGGAUGACGUCAAAUCAUCAUGCCCCUUAUGACCUGGGCUACACACGUGCUACAAUGGUCGGUACAACGAGUUGCGAGCCGGUGACGGCAAGCUAAUCUCUGAAAGCCGAUCUCAGUUCGGAUUGGAGGCUGCAACUCGCCUCCAUGAAGUCGGAAUCGCUAGUAAUCGCGGAUCAGCACGCCGCGGUGAAUACGUUCCCGGGCCUUGUACACACCGCCCGUCACACCACGAGAGUUUGUAACACCC